This 210-nucleotide unclassified non-coding RNA is filed under the name uncultured fungus. Its description in RNAcentral is "sequence contains ITS1". The record is from RNAcentral. Lineage: Eukaryota; Fungi.
UUAAAUAUUAUAUAGUACUCAGACAUCACUAAACACAGAGUUUGGGGUCUCUGGCAAGCACUAAUCAGCCGAAGCCGACGCCCGAAGGCGGCCUGCCAAAGCAACAAAGGUAUGUAAACACGGUUUUGGGAAUAGAACCCCAUUUUUAUUAAAAAAAGCGGGGCGUUUUCUUUUUCUUUAAUGAUCCUUCCGCAGGUUCACCUACGGAAA